RNAcentral lists this ribosomal RNA (301 nucleotides) under uncultured bacterium. RNAcentral's name for it is "partial 16S ribosomal RNA". It matches the Rfam family "Bacterial small subunit ribosomal RNA", at positions 509 to 809 of the family's 1533-position model. The record is from RNAcentral.
CAGCCGCCGCGGUAAUACAGAGGGUGCGAGCGUUAAUCGGAUUUACUGGGCGUAAAGCGUGCGUAGGCGGCUAAUUGAGUCGGAUGUGAAAUCCCCGAGCUUAACUUGGGAAUUGCAUUCGAUACUGGUUAGCUAGAGUGUGGGAGAGGAUGGUAGAAUUCCAGGUGUAGCGGUGAAAUGCGUAGAGAUCUGGAGGAAUACCGAUGGCGAAGGCAGCCAUCUGGCCUAACACUGACGCUGAGGUACGAAAGCAUGGGGAGCAAACAGGAUUAGAUACCCGAGUAGUCCCUGUCUCUUAUAA